ACUCCUACGGGAGGCAGCAGUAGGGAAUCUUCCACAAUGGGCGCAAGCCUGAUGGAGCAACACCGCGUGAGUGAAGAAGGGUUUCGGCUCGUAAAGCUCUGUUGUUAAAGAAGAACACGUAUGAGAGUAACUGUUCAUACGUUGACGGUAUUUAACCAGAAAGUCACGGCUAACUACGUGCCAGCAGCCGCGGUAAUACGUAGGUGGCAAGCGUUAUCCGGAUUUAUUGGGCGUAAAGAGAGUGCAGGCGGUUUUCUAAGUCUGAUGUGAAAGCCUUCGGCUUAACCGGAUAAGUGCAUCGGAAACUGGAUAACUUGAGUGCAGAAGAGGGUAGUGGAACUCCAUGUGUAGCGGUGGAAUGCGUAGAUAUAUGGAAGAACACCAGUGGCGAAGGCGGCUACCUGGUCUGCAACCGACGCUGAGACUCGAAAGCAUGGGUAGCGAACAGGAUUAGAUACCCUGGUAGGAUAGCG
RNAcentral lists this ribosomal RNA (473 nucleotides) under uncultured bacterium. RNAcentral's name for it is "bacterial SSU rRNA". It matches the Rfam family "Bacterial small subunit ribosomal RNA", at positions 335 to 801 of the family's 1533-position model. The record is from RNAcentral.